This is a long non-coding RNA of Symphalangus syndactylus (siamang), 91 nucleotides long. RefSeq lists it as uncharacterized. The record is from RefSeq and is a predicted model, not a curated record. NCBI's taxonomy places the organism in Eukaryota, Metazoa, Chordata, Mammalia, Primates, Hylobatidae.
AAAAAUAAAAAAAAAAUUUUUGAACAAAAAAAAAAAAAAAAAAAAAAAAAAAAAAAAAAAAAAAAAAAAAAAAAAAAAAAAAAAAAAUUAU